UAGUUAUUCCUCUGACCAGCCAUUUCAGGAAAAAUAGCCCAAUUAUCUAUUCGCAGGCAAAUUGCUUGUAGUAUGAUCGAACACAAAUCCUCGAAAACGAUAGCUCUGUCC
Telopea speciosissima is the source of this 111-nucleotide long non-coding RNA. RefSeq lists it as uncharacterized. Lineage: Eukaryota; Viridiplantae; Streptophyta; Magnoliopsida; Proteales; Proteaceae. The record is from RefSeq and is a predicted model, not a curated record. The transcript has 3 exons.